UCCGAUUUUAAUAUCGGCAGUCUCAUUAGAGUCCCCAGCAUGACCUGUUGGCAACUAAUGAUAGGGGUUGCGCUCGUUACGGGACUUAACCCAACACCUCACGGCACGAGCUGACGACAGCCAUGCAGCACCUAGUUUCGUGCAAUUGCUUGCUGCCAUGUUUCUACGGCAUUCACUAACUUUCAAGCCCAGGUAAGGUUCUUCGCGUUGCCUCGAAUUAAACCACACGCUCCGCUGCUUGUGCGGGCCCCCGCCUAUUCCUUUGAGUUUUAACCUUGCGGCCGUAGUCCCCAGGCGGUGAACUUAAUGCGUUAGCUGCGGCACUGAUCGGGUCAAUCCGACCAACACCUAGUUCACAACGUUUAGGGCGUGGACUAC
This 378-nucleotide unclassified non-coding RNA is filed under the name uncultured bacterium. RNAcentral's name for it is "contains 16S-23S intergenic spacer region". The record is from RNAcentral.